RNAcentral lists this ribosomal RNA (676 nucleotides) under uncultured bacterium. RNAcentral's name for it is "bacterial SSU rRNA". It matches the Rfam family "Bacterial small subunit ribosomal RNA", at positions 138 to 800 of the family's 1533-position model. The record is from RNAcentral.
AGGGGAUAACAUUUGGAAACAAGUGCUAAUACCGUAUAACACUAACAACCGCAUGGUUGUUAGUUCCAAGAUGGUUCUGCUAUCACUAAGAGAUGGACCCGCGGUGCAUUAGCUAGUUGGUAAGGUAAUGGCUUACCAAGGCGAUGAUGCGUAGCCGAGUUGAGAGACUGAUCGGCCACAAUGGGACUGAGACACGGCCCAUACUCCUACGGGAGGCAGCAGUAGGGAAUCUUCCACAAUGGGCGCAAGCCUGAUGGAGCAACGCCGCGUGUGUGAUGAAGGGUUUCGGCUCGUAAAACACUGUUAUAAGAGAAGAACGACAUUGAGAGUAACUGUUCAGUGUGUGACGGUAUCUUAUCAGAAAGGAACGGCUAAAUACGUGCCAGCAGCCGCGGUAAUACGUAUGUUCCAAGCGUUAUCCGGAUUUAUUGGGCGUAAAGCGAGCGCAGACGGUUAUUUAAGUCUGAAGUGAAAGCCCUCAGCUCAACUGAGGAAGGGCUUUGGAAACUGGAUAACUUGAGUGCAGUAGAGGAAAGUGGAACUCCAUGUGUAGCGGUGAAAUGCGUAGAUAUAUGGAAGAACACCGGUGGCGAAAGCGGCUUUCUGGACUGUAACUGACGUUUGAGGCUCGAAAGUGUGGGUAGCAAACAGGAUUAGAUACCCUGGUAGUCCACAC